RNAcentral lists this transfer RNA (68 nucleotides) under Lysmata vittata. RNAcentral's name for it is "tRNA-Gln". The record is from RNAcentral. Lineage: Eukaryota; Metazoa; Arthropoda; Malacostraca; Decapoda; Hippolytidae.
UAUAUUUUAGUGUAAAGGCACUUUAAGUUUUGAUCUUAAAAGAAAUGGUGAAAUUCCAUUAAAUAUAA